UAGCCCUGGGACUACAGGUGGAAGCAAUUCAACUGCACAAUGUGAAAAGGUGGAGCCAGGGUCUACUCCUGCCUAACCUCAUUAAAGGGUUGUCAGGAAGGAGCAUCUAUAAUUAAAGAUCAUCUUUUUUGGAGUGUUUGGUGAGCCCUGAUACUUGGAAAGGGGAAAUUGUGGAAACAGUGACUCAUCUCUUCAAUAAUUUACGCAGGAUAAUUUCUUGAAAAGCAAGAUCAGCAGGGACUUUUCCUCUUGAUUGCAGAGGAUUUGGUUAUAUAUUUCUGAAUACUCAGAAAACAAGAGAAUGGGGAGAGAAAACAAAGCCAACAGUCUGGGACUUUUUCUUCCCAGAAGGAAGGAUUUUGUCCAAUUGUCCGAUUUCAGAAUUGAUGAAAAAAGCCUGAGGAGUGAAUGUUUCACUAUUUUUCCAUGAAUUGGUUGCUAUUGUUUUUUGAAUCAGUAAAACCUUAAAGGUAUUAUCUGUCAUGAGGAAAUGGGAUUUGAAAACAUGGUGCUGUAGAUGAACAAAAUAUGCUCUGAAGACACAAUGUGGAUAUUUUGAACAUGUAAACAAUAUCAGUUCCAUGUAACUAAAUGCAAAUUAUUUAAUGAUGAACAAAAAUACAUAAUGUGUCCUCAAAGAGUUAAUUGUUGACCAGUCAGCAUUUUAUUUUUCUUCACCGUUUUUGUUGGGACACUAGGGGCAGUGGUGGCACUUAGUGAUGUAAUAUUGGAUUGGUUUAAACUUGCCCAUUUAAAACAGCAAUUUUUGAUAUGUGGGGUAAUUGGGCCAUCAACAGUUCAUGUUCAU
Molecule: long non-coding RNA, 808 nt
Organism: Phasianus colchicus (ring-necked pheasant)
Lineage: Eukaryota; Metazoa; Chordata; Aves; Galliformes; Phasianidae
Source: RefSeq, a predicted model, not a curated record